GCACCGGCGGGGAGUCAGGCCGGGCCUCAGGGGCGGCGGUGGGGCAGGUGGGCCUGCGAGGGCUUUCUCCAGGGCGGCAGCAAGGCCUUCAGCGAGCUUCGCCCUCGGCACAGAUACCCCCUGAGUGCUUUGCUCUGCUCCGGGACUCUUCUGGGAGGGAGAAGGUGGUCUUCUUGCGCGAGGUCAGAGGAGAAUUGUCGCGCUGGUUCAGAAGCGAUUGCUAAAGCCCACAGAAGUUCCUGCCUGGUUGGUUAAGAACAGUUCUUAGGUGGUGGUUAGUUUUUUUGUGUUUCUUUGAGGACCGUGGAUCAAGAUCAAGGAAAUCUCUUUAGAACCUUAUUAUGGAAGUCUGAAUUUUCCAAAUAGUGAGGGUUUUAUGUCUAAAAGCAACACCUGAAAAAAUUGUUUUCUUCACCCAGUGCUGUCUUACAAUUUCCUCUUGGGGGGAGGGGUAGUUACUGCUGUUACUAAAAUAAAAUUAAUUACUGCUAAAGUUCCCCAAGAGGAAGACCACUACUUUUGAUGACUUUGCAAGUUUACUAGCUACUGGAAGCCUAACUUUAUAAACGAACUACUUACAUUUUUGAUUUUCAGUUGUAUUAACCUGCCCAAUGUUUACGUAGAAGCAGUUUGAUUUUGAAUUUGAUUUUGGGUAAGGUUGUUGCACUUCAUUAAAAAUACAUAUCCGAAGUGAGCAAGUGUGGAUCUGUGGACAGCAGUGAUUUUUCCUGUCAAUUCCUGUUGCUUCAGAUAAAAUGUACCAGACAGAGGCCGGGCGCGGUGGCUCACGCCUGUAAUCCCAGCACUUUAGGAGGCCGAGGCGGGUGGAUCACCUGAGGCUGGUCUUGAACCCCUGACUUCAAGUGAGCCUCCCACCGCGGCCAGCCAGAAAUGGGUUUUGGAAAAAGCACUAAACAAAAUCAGGAACUUGGAUUCAUAUGACAGCUCUGCUACUAACUGUAACGGGGGACAGACCAGUUAACCUACUUUUCUGUCUUCUAUCAGCUGAGAAUUAGAUGAUUCCCAAAGGCCCAUUGAACUCUGAAUGACAUUAAAUACUUGUUAAGUAGGUACACAGUUUUGGUAACUGAUUCUAGGUGAUGAAUGAAUGAAAGUGCUGAAUGAAUGAAACAGGUAAAAUAGGAGGAGGAAGCUUUAUUGGUAAGGCAGGGGUAUACUUAAUAGCUCUCUAAUUUGUUGGCGUUGCAGUGGUUACUUUUUGGUUUUUUAAGGCGGAAAAGCAUUCUAAGAAUAAUGAGGCAAACUGCAUAUUGCACAAGAGACUGUUGUCUCCAGUCAACAAAUAUCUUUUGAGUGUCCACAGUCUGCCAGGCGCUGUGCUAGGCCCUCACGAUUGGGUAGUGAACCAGACAAUGUCCCUGCACCCAUGGAGUUUAUUGUCUCCUGGGGUAGACAGAUAAUAAAUAAGCAAACAAAUCUCUUCCUCUCUUCUCCCUCCCGCUCCAUGUAAGUGUGUGUGUGUAGGUGUAUACUUAUAGAUUGAGUAAAGUGUUAUGAAAGAUUAAGAGGAGAAACACAUUUUGGUUAGAUGUUAGAGGACUCAGCAGGUGACCUUGAAACUUAGAGCUGAAAGAUCAGUAGGAGGUAACUAGAGAGGCCAGGGAAUAGCAUGUUCAAAGGUCAGGAGGCAAAAAAGGGCAUGGUGCCCUUCAAGAGAGGAAAGAAGGCUACUGUGACUGGGGCAUGGAUGUAGGCAAGUGUCAGGUGAUUGAGAACUCUACAGGCCGUGGUUAGGUUUUAUUCCUAAUGCCGAGAUGCCAAACAUGGUGGUUCAUAUCUGUAAUCCCAGUACUUUAGGAGGCUGAGGCAGAAGUAUAGCUUGAACUCAGGAGUUCAAGACCAGCCUGAGCAACAUGAGACCUGUACAAAACAUAAAAAUUUGCUGGGUGUGAUGGUGCACACCUGUGGUCCCAGCUGCUCAGGAGGCUGAGGCAGAAGGAUCGCUUGAGCCUAGGAGGUGGAGGCUACAGUGAGCCAUAUUUGAGUCACUACACUCCAGCCUGAAUGACAAAGUGAGACCCUGUGUCAAACAAAAUACAGAGAGAAUGUUAAUUUAAAAUUUUGAAAGAGGAGUGAUCUGAACUUAUAUCUUAAAAAGAUCAUUUUAGGGCACGGUGGCUCAUGCCUGUAAUCAAGUGCUUUGGGAGGCUGAGACGGGAGGAUCACCUCAGGCCAGUUCGAGAUGAACCUGUACAACAUAGAGAGACUUCAUCUCUAUAAAAAGAAAAAAUAAAUACCUGGGCAUUGUGAGCUAUUCAGGAUGCUGAAGCAGAAACAUCACUUGAGCCCAGGAGUUUAAGGCUGCAGUAAGCUGUGAUCCCACCACUGCAACACAGUGAAAUCCUGUCUCAAA
This is a long non-coding RNA of Piliocolobus tephrosceles (Ugandan red Colobus), 2374 nucleotides long. RefSeq lists it as uncharacterized. Lineage: Eukaryota; Metazoa; Chordata; Mammalia; Primates; Cercopithecidae. The record is from RefSeq and is a predicted model, not a curated record. The transcript is spliced from 2 exons.